This 450-nucleotide ribosomal RNA is filed under the name uncultured bacterium. Its description in RNAcentral is "bacterial SSU rRNA". It matches the Rfam family "Bacterial small subunit ribosomal RNA", at positions 29 to 524 of the family's 1533-position model. The record is from RNAcentral.
AACGAACGCUGGCGGCAUGCCUAACACAUGCAAGUCGAACGAAGCCUUCGGGCUUAGUGGCGCACGGGUGCGUAACGCGUGGGAAUCUGCCCUUGGGUUCGAAAUAACAGUUAGAAAUGACUGCUAAUACCGAAUGAUGUCUUCGGACCAAAGAUUUAUCGCCCAAGGAUGAGCCCGCGUCGGAUUAGCUGGUUGGUGAGGUAAAGGCUCACCAAGGCGACGAUCCGUAGCUGGUCUGAGAGGAUGAUCCGCCACACUGGGACUGAGACACGGCCCAGACUCCUACGGGAGGCAGCAGUGGGGAAUAUUGGACAAUGGGCGAAAGCCUGAUCCAGCAAUGCCGCGUGAGUGAUGAAGGCCUUAGGGUUGUAAAGCUCUUUUACCCGGGAUGAUAAUGACAGUACCGGGAGAAUAAGCCCCGGCUAACUCCGUGCCAGCAGCCGCGGUAAU